RNAcentral lists this signal recognition particle RNA (96 nucleotides) under Pelagibacterium halotolerans. RNAcentral's name for it is "Bacterial small signal recognition particle RNA". It matches the Rfam family "Bacterial small signal recognition particle RNA". Rfam says of the family: The signal recognition particle (SRP) is a universally conserved ribonucleoprotein involved in the co-translational targeting of proteins to membranes. Archaeal SRP consists of a 7S RNA and homologues of the eukaryotic SRP19 and SRP54 proteins. In most bacteria, the SRP consists of a 4.5S RNA and the Ffh protein (a homologue of the eukaryotic SRP54 protein). The record is from RNAcentral. Lineage: Bacteria; Pseudomonadati; Pseudomonadota; Alphaproteobacteria; Hyphomicrobiales; Devosiaceae.
GGAGGUUGGUGGCGGACGAACCGCUCGCCAACCGGGUCAGGUCCGGAAGGAAGCAGCCCUAACGAGUACGGCACGGGUCGUCGUCAGCCUCCUGCU